This is a long non-coding RNA of Haliotis rubra (blacklip abalone), 100 nucleotides long. RefSeq lists it as uncharacterized. The record is from RefSeq and is a predicted model, not a curated record. The transcript is spliced from 3 exons. NCBI's taxonomy places the organism in Eukaryota, Metazoa, Mollusca, Gastropoda, Lepetellida, Haliotidae.
UAAAUAUCGAGGCUCCAUGAUUCAUAGAGAAUACUACAGGAGGUCCCAUUACAUACGAAUUACACGAAACGAGUGUCCUUCCUAUGGUAUCUGACCGAGC